Molecule: ribosomal RNA, 482 nt
Filed under: uncultured bacterium
Lineage: Bacteria
Description: partial 16S ribosomal RNA
Rfam family: Bacterial small subunit ribosomal RNA
Source: RNAcentral
GACGAACGCUGGCGGCGUGCUUAACACAUGCAAGUCGAACGAUGAAACCUAGCUUGCUAGGUCGAUUAGUGGCGAACGGGUGAGUAACACGUGACUAACCUGCCCCUUUCUCUGGGAUAACGCUCCGAAAGGAGUGCUAAUACCGGAUACUCACACCGAGGCACAUGCCUUGGUGUGGAAAGUUUUUCGGAAAGGGAUGGAGUCGCGGCCUAUCAGCUUGUUGGUGAGGUAACGGCUCACCAAGGCGACGACGGGUAGCCGGCCUGAGAGGGCGACCGGCCACACUGGGACUGAGACACCGCCCAGACUCCUUCGGGGGGCAGCAGUGGGGAAUAUUGCACAAUGGGCGCAAGCCUGAUGCAGCGACGCCGCGUGAGGGAUGAAGGUCUUCGGAUUGUAAACCUCUUUCAGUAGGGACGAAGCGAAAGUGACGGUACCUAAAGAAGAAGCACCGGCUAACUACGUGCCAGCAGCCGCCGUAA